AUACCUAACAAAAAAUCUUCCACUGUUACUGCUUGAGUCAUUUGUCUUGUCGAUCCGCCUUAAUCUCUUUUGCUUUCCCCUUUUCUUUCGGAAUCACUCUGGAGUUUCACAGCACAAUACUUAAACAACUCUAAAUGCAGCUGCGGUUUACAUGCACCUGUAUGUUUGAAUUGUAUAUGUCAAUUUAGUACUAUGAUUUUGGGGUGAUAAAUUUUAGAGCCAAAGAGAAGAAACAUGGAGCUACAAAACAUUUUUAAAGAAGCCCUAAAUGCACUGCAUAAGCAUCCAUACAACGCAGAUCUCGCGCAAGACAUAAUUGGCUACAUGAUUUUCAACCCACUACGGAUGCUUGACAGGUAGUCAUCCAAUGAUGAAAAGGAGUUUAUUCUUGUGCGAAACAUGCUGCUUGCUACAAUAGAAGAACGAUACCAAGACGCAGGGACACCAUGUUUGUUGCUGCUGACCAGAUUGGGUUUAGACAUUGAGUUUGAUAGCGGCAAAAUAUUUGGUGGGGUAUAAUGCGAAAUAAUUGGACUAAUGGCAUGUACUAUAGUGCUUUUCACUUGGACAACUUAAUUUGGUCCAGCCUGUCGUUAUGGCCCGUCGUUCAAAAAUGCAAAAAAUGCUAGGGAUAAACUAGAAUGGAAGCAGAUAGACUUCCAAAUCACCCCAGAAAAUGGAGAACAAAAACUGGGCUGCUAGUGAUGACAAUUUGGAAUAGUUGGAGAUGAGUGAACUUCAGUCAUUGUAGAUUCAUUUAUUUAUAUCUUUACUAGAAUGAUCUUUACAUUGAUAUAUUGAUAUUUUCUGUUGUUACUAUAUAAUUCGGACUUUCAAUUGCUAUGCUUAUAUAUAGUAAUUGACAUUAGGAGUUGUCAGAACCCGUUAAAGAAAUUUAUUAAUUGGAUUUGAAUUCAAAAUUUUCAUUCUA
Molecule: long non-coding RNA, 931 nt
Organism: Capsicum annuum
Lineage: Eukaryota; Viridiplantae; Streptophyta; Magnoliopsida; Solanales; Solanaceae
Exons: 3
Source: RefSeq, a predicted model, not a curated record